AAUUUUUUAUAAAAUUUUAUCUUAAUAAAAAGUGAAAUUAGAUUAUUAAAUGUAAAAUUUUAUUAAAUUUUAAUAUAAUGAAGCUUAAAAAAUUGAGGUAUGAAUUAGGAUUAGAUACCCUAGUACACUUUAAAUUAAUUGUAAAAAGACUAGAAUACUAAAAGUUAUAUUCUUUAAAUUUAAAAAAUUGGGCGGUAUUUUAGUCUAGUUAGAGGAACCUGUUUUUUAAACGACAAUACACGCAUUAUCUUACUUAUUCUAGUAAUCAGUUUGUAUACCGUCAUUAUAAGAUAAUUUAAGAGAGAAUAUUAUUAAGAUCAAUAUUAUGUGAGUAUAUUAGAUCAAGGUGCAGCUAAUGAAUAAGAAAAAAUGGGUUACAAUAAAAAUUAUUUAUACGGAUUUAAUAUUUAAAUAUAUUAAUGAAGGCGGAUUUAAUUGUAAAAUAAAAUUAAUAGGUUUU
This 460-nucleotide ribosomal RNA is filed under the name Pontastacus leptodactylus (narrow-clawed crayfish). RNAcentral's name for it is "Astacus leptodactylus (narrow-clawed crayfish) partial small subunit ribosomal RNA". Lineage: Eukaryota; Metazoa; Arthropoda; Malacostraca; Decapoda; Astacidae. The record is from RNAcentral.